RNAcentral lists this long non-coding RNA (1713 nucleotides) under Nicotiana tabacum (common tobacco). RNAcentral's name for it is "long non-coding RNA (NTAB_LNC009903)". Lineage: Eukaryota; Viridiplantae; Streptophyta; Magnoliopsida; Solanales; Solanaceae. The record is from RNAcentral.
UAAAGUUCAAAUUGCUAUUAUCAUCAAUCAAUAAGAUCAUUGUUCGAAUUUACACAGUAUUGAGGCAUUCACUGACCACAAUUACAGUAAUUAGCAACAAACAUGAAAAUUAAGACUUGAUGGUACAGAGCAAAAACUCAGAUCAAAUAAUACUGGGAGCUGAAAAUGUACAACCAAAAACAGUACAACACCAUAUGAAUUUGAUCAUAGCUAUUCUAUUUGUCUUGCCUAUGCUCUCUUGUCACCGGUUGCAUACGACAGCUCUAUUGGCUCAAUAGAUUUCCCAGCAUCUGAUAGGAAAUCAUACUUGAGGAAACUAAGUUACUUGUAUUUUGAAGGCAAAACACCAAGAAAGUCUCAGCUGAUCUUAGGCUUGGCUCUUCUAGGCUUUAGCACAAGCCAAAGAACAAAGAAAACAACUAGGAAAGCAGGUAUCAUAUAUUGUCAUGUCAAACUCGACUUUAACAUUCCUCUGCCGGAUGCAAUAUUUUAAUGGAGACUGUCUAGAGUUGUAUCAAUAUAAUUUACGAACCUGCAUAAUAGACAAGAUCAUUUUAGCAAACAAGUUGAGAGAAACACGUGUUGAGUGAAAAGUGAAGACACUUUUGCAUGCCAAAUUAAUGUUGCUUAAUGCUUGCUAAGCAUCGUCCUCGAUAAAAUAUCAUAUAAACGUGUGACUCCCAUAUGCAGUAAAUCAAGGUAUUCUACUAUGUACUAUCUCAAAUUGGUUACACAUGUAAGUGCAAGACUAACAAUAAGGAUGUCAUCACUCAUCAGGUAGGGGUAAGUGUAGUGCAGCACAUCAGUGAUUGUCACACAACAAACGAAAGAUGCUAACCCUUUUACCGCAUCCUCUAAGGUAUGGACAAGUCUCAAGGCAUCCACAUAACACAGUUCCCCACUGACAGUUGAAAUCUGGAAGGGAUCCAUAACAUGAAAUAAAUUGGCUAGAAGGUUUCAUAAACAGGCUAAAUUUAAGACAACGAGAGCCAACAAGAUCAAACUAUUUCUGGAAAAUAUCGUUUUAACUUAUGCAGCAAAUGCAGAUCAAUGAGAUUGAAAUAAGAACAAAUCCUUCCAUACAGAGGCAGAGCCAAAAUUUAAAUCUUUUGGGUUCUGAGCUGAACUUGUCAUUAAAUCCAUAUCUAGUCUUGUUUACUAGGUUCACAAUUAGAUAUUCAUACAACUUUAAUGAAAUUUGUAAUACAAAUGCAAGAUCUAAACAAUUGUUGUUGGGUUCGUCUGAACCCAUAAGUAAUGAUCUAGCUCCACCUCCGAUUCCAUAGAGCUUGGAAUGAUAGAGCACCAAGUGCUAUUUAUCUUGCAAAAAAAUUGAGCAAAAGGUAUUUGGCAAAACAUUGUAAAAACUGUAAAUCACGAACUCUUCCCCACAAGCUAACAACAUAACUGUAUUUGUUCAUUAGCUCACGCUCAUGGGUUUUGAAGCGCUUAAAAGUCUGUUCUGCUUUCGAAGAUUAAGUAUCCAUAAAGAGAAACUCUAUUAAAUGGGCAAUUACGAAAAACAACUUAUAUGUAAAAACGUCAUCAACUUUUUCUGACUGGUAAGAACAUCAGCAACUUACUUAGGAAGAAAGCUUUUUAAAGCUAGUUGUCCGUUGUUCAAACCAACAAAAGAUCACUCAAUAUUUUAUGCACAAUUGACUUGCAGAGAAUAUUGUAUUAUGCAGAAGAAGUGAUAAAACCUAUUAACAC